GAUGAACGCUGGCGGCGUGCCUAAUACAUGCAAGUCGAGCGAACGGACGAGAAGCUUGCUUCUCUGAUGUUAGCGGCGGACGGGUGAGUAACACGUGGAUAACCUACCUAUAAGACUGGGAUAACUUCGGGACACCGUAGCUAAUACCGGAUAAUAUUUUGAACCGCAUGGUUCAAAAGUGAAAGACGGUCUUGCUGUCACUUAUAGAUGGAUCCGCGCUGCAUUAGCUAGUUGGUAAGGUAACGGCUUACCAAGGCAACGAUGCAUAGCCGACCUGAGAGGGUGAUCGGCCACACUGGAACUGAGACACGGUCCAGACUCCUACGGGAGGCAGCAGUAGGGAAUCUUCCGCAAUGGGCGAAAGCCUGACGGAGCAACGCCGCGUGAGUGAUGAAGGUCUUCGGAUCGUAAAACUCUGUUAUUAGGGAAGAACAUAUGUGUAAGUAACUGUGCACAUCUUGACGGUACCUAAUCAGAAAGCCACGGCUAACUACGUG
Molecule: ribosomal RNA, 497 nt
Filed under: uncultured bacterium
Lineage: Bacteria
Description: partial 16S ribosomal RNA
Rfam family: Bacterial small subunit ribosomal RNA
Source: RNAcentral